GCAGUGGUGAUUCAGUGGGUAGAAUCCUUGCCUUCCAAGUAGGCGACUCAGGUUUUUAUUCCGAACCAAUGCA
This 73-nucleotide transfer RNA is filed under the name Loxodonta africana (African savanna elephant). It matches the Rfam family "tRNA". Rfam says of the family: Transfer RNA (tRNA) molecules are approximately 80 nucleotides in length. Their secondary structure includes four short double-helical elements and three loops (D, anti-codon, and T loops). The record is from Rfam by way of RNAcentral. Lineage: Eukaryota; Metazoa; Chordata; Mammalia; Proboscidea; Elephantidae.